This 377-nucleotide ribosomal RNA is filed under the name uncultured bacterium. RNAcentral's name for it is "partial 16S ribosomal RNA". It matches the Rfam family "Bacterial small subunit ribosomal RNA", at positions 338 to 732 of the family's 1533-position model. The record is from RNAcentral.
CCUACGGGAGGCAGCAGUGGGGAAUAUUGGACAAUGGGGGAAACCCUGAUCCAGCGACGCCGCGUGAGUGAAGAAGUAUUUCGGUACGUAAAGCUCUAUCAGCAGGAAAGAAAAUGACGGUACCUGACUAAGAAGCCACGGCUAACUACGUGCCAGCAGCCGCGGUAAUACGUAGGGGGCAAGCGUUAUCCGGAUUUACUGGGUGUAAAGGGAGCGUAGACGGCAGCGCAAGUCUGGCGUGAAAUGCCGGGGCCCAACCCCGGAACUGCUCUGGAAACUGGGAAGCUGGAGUGCAGGAGAGGUAAGCGGAAUUCCUGGUGUAGGGGUGAAAUGCGUAGAUAUCAGGAGGAACAUCAGCGGCGAAGGCGACUUACUGG